This 406-nucleotide ribosomal RNA is filed under the name uncultured bacterium. Its description in RNAcentral is "partial 16S ribosomal RNA". It matches the Rfam family "Bacterial small subunit ribosomal RNA", at positions 30 to 526 of the family's 1533-position model. The record is from RNAcentral.
AUUGAACGCUGGCGUACGGCCUAACACAUGCAAGUCGAACGAGUGGCGGACGGGUGAGUAAUGUCUGGGAAACUGCCUGAUGGCGGGGGAUAACUACUGGAAACGGUAGCUAAUACCGCAUACCAUCAGAUGUGCCCAGAUGGGCUUAGCUAGUUGGUGGGGUAACGGCUCACCAAGGCGACGAUCCCUAGCGGGUCUGAGAGGAUGACCAGCCACACUGGAACGGAGACACGGGCGAUACUCCUACGGGAGUCAGCAGUGGGGAAUAUUGGACAAUGGGCGAAAGCCUGAUCCAGCCAUGCCGCGUGUGUGAAGAAGGUCUUCGGAUUGUAAAGCACUUUUAGUUGGGAGGCGUGACCAACAGAAGAAGCACCGGCUAACUCCGUGCCAGCAGCCGCGGUAAUUC